GAGUUUGAUCUUGGCUCAGAUUGAACGCUGGCGGAAUGCUUUACACAUGCAAGUCGAGCGGCAGCGCGGGGCAACCUGGCGGCGAGCGGCGAACGGGUGAGUAAUGCAUCGGAACAUGUCCAUGUCGUGGGGGAUAGCCCGGCGAAAGCCGGAUUAAUACCGCAUACGCCCGAGAGGGGAAAGUGGGGGACUCGAAAGGGCCUCACGCGAUUGGGUUGGCCGAUGUCCGAUUAGCUAGUUGGCGGGGUAAUGGCCCACCAAGGCGAUGAUCGGUAGCUGGUCUGAGAGGAUGAUCAGCCACACUGGGACUGAGACACGGCCCAGACUCCUACGGGAGGCAGCAGUGGGGAAUUUUGGACAAUGGGGGCAACCCUGAUCCAGCCAUUCCGCGUGAGUGAAGAAGGCC
Molecule: ribosomal RNA, 406 nt
Filed under: uncultured beta proteobacterium
Lineage: Bacteria; Pseudomonadati; Pseudomonadota; Betaproteobacteria
Description: bacterial SSU rRNA
Rfam family: Bacterial small subunit ribosomal RNA
Source: RNAcentral